RNAcentral lists this ribosomal RNA (559 nucleotides) under Hansenula anomala. Its description in RNAcentral is "LSU rRNA". It matches the Rfam family "Eukaryotic large subunit ribosomal RNA", at positions 62 to 635 of the family's 3401-position model. Lineage: Eukaryota; Fungi; Ascomycota; Saccharomycetes; Phaffomycetales; Wickerhamomycetaceae. The record is from RNAcentral.
AAACCAACAGGGAUUGCCUCAGUAACGGCGAGUGAAGCGGCAAAAGCUCAAAUUUGAAAUCUAGCACCUUCGGUGUUCGAGUUGUAAUUUGAAGAUGGUAACCUUGGGUUUGGCUCUUGUCUAUGUUCCUUGGAACAGGACGUCAUAGAGGGUGAGAAUCCCGUCUGAUGAGAUGCCCAUUCCUAUGUAAGGUGCUAUCGAAGAGUCGAGUUGUUUGGGAAUGCAGCUCUAAGUGGGUGGUAAAUUCCAUCUAAAGCUAAAUAUUGGCGAGAGACCGAUAGCGAACAAGUACAGUGAUGGAAAGAUGAAAAGAACUUUGAAAAGAGAGUGAAAAAGUACGUGAAAUUGUUGAAAGGGAAGGGCAUUAGAUCAGACUUGGUGUUUUACGAUUAUCUUCUCUUCUUGAGUUGUGCACUCGUAUUUCACUGGGCCAGCAUCGAUUCGGAUGGCAAGAUAAUGGCAGUUGAAUGUGGCUUCACUUCGGUGGAGUGUUAUAGCUUCUGCUGAUAUUGCCUGUCUGGAUCGAGGGCUGCGUCUUUGACUAGGAUGCGGCGAAUUU